CCAUAUCCAAAGUCCCGUUUCUGUCGUGGUGUUCCUGAUCCCAAGAUCAGGAUUUACGAUGUUGGCAUGAAGAAGAAAGGUGUUGAUGAGUUUCCUUUCUGUGUUCAUCUGGUCAGUUGGGAGAAGGAAAAUGUGUCCAGUGAGGCACUUGAAGCUGCUAGGAUUGCCUGCAACAAAUACAUGUCAAAGUUUGCAGGAAAGGAUGCAUUCCACUUGAGAGUUAGGGUUCAUCCAUUCCAUGUUCUUAGGAUCAACAAGAUGCUUUCAUGUGC
RNAcentral lists this long non-coding RNA (272 nucleotides) under Medicago truncatula (barrel medic). RNAcentral's name for it is "long non-coding RNA (MTRU_LNC001082)". The record is from RNAcentral. Lineage: Eukaryota; Viridiplantae; Streptophyta; Magnoliopsida; Fabales; Fabaceae.